AUUAUUUCUCAAAUGAAACCCCAUUCAUUCAAGCCACACUGUGGCUUAAUACACAGAGCCAGUAUCAAGGCCAGCAUACUUCUUCAUGACGUGACAUCCAGCCAGGAAACUGGACCUUAAUUUAUUUGUCAGGGACAUUGAACAACAUGCCAACGCACCAGACGUAUCGGUAGUCCUGACCACUAGGGGUUCAUUAAACACCUUGCUUCUACACAGUGGUUAAAGUUUAACCAGCCAGCAGCACUCUAACAAAGACACUGCCGUUACUCCCCUAUGCAGAGAAGGCCUGCAGGAAAUAGCGCUAUAGCCUCAGAAAACUACUGGAUAUUACCAUGCUGUGAAUAUCACCAUGACUUUGGCCUGAACCACCUCAGAAGAUAAGUGUAACAGAUGGAUUGUGCAAAUACAGUGGCUCGUCACUGAUGCGACCCCUGGAUGUAUCCUGGCCAUGAGCGUAGGUACACCACCCUGGCAGCCCCAUCUGCUGCUGGGCGGGUAGAUCAUCGGUCACUCCAGCAUGGAGGUUGGUCAGUGUGCCCCUCUCCCCAGGCAGCACACCUUGGAACAUCCAUCAUCUCUCUGUCACUGUGUUACUGCUGGGAGGCAUGAAAUCCCACCACCACCACCACCACCCACCCUGCUCCACUGAACUGCUACAGAACCUGCUGUGGUACUCUCACACACACACAACCUUCACCUACAGAGAGGCUGGGAUCAGGGUGAAUAGAAUGGAGGGUAAGGUUGUUCCAAUACCCAAAUAACCACGGUCAUAAAGACAUCAUUGAGCAGUCUAAGGCCAACUGAAUCAUAACAUGGUGAGAUUGACUAUACCAUAAACAGUUCAGCCUAGCUAAGUGCCAGCCCCAUUACGAGCAAAACAAAUUGAGUGGUUUGACCCCUAACUGUAAUUAAAUCUAGCAACAAGAUUAGGCUACCUGUCAAACUAAAAUAUUCAUAAAACAAUCAUAGCAUCGAGCAGGGCUAAUCAACUGGCAAGAUUCAGCACAUUUAUCCAUUUUUAAAAAUGGCCCUUUGAUCAAUUCUGAACAUAUUUUUUUUUGAGCCAUACCAUUUUUUUUUACUGUAGUUCUGCCCAUUAACGCUGUGAAUCAAUACCAGUUACAGCCUAUCAGUGCUGCUAACAUCAGCCAAUCGGAGCUCCAAACAUCUGGCAAUGCCAUUGUACCAGUCCGCCGCCUCAGCCAAGCUAUUUUACAAGCUGGAUAGAAAAUUUUACAAACAUUUAGCACAGAGAAUGUAAGCUGACAAAAUGUCCCCUCAAUUCAAAACGAAAUAAAGUUGGAUGAUGAUAAUCGCUAUCGGUUCUUUCAACAAAGAUGAGAUCGCUACACCAUGCUUAACUCAGCGGUGUGUUAAAAAACACCAUGGACUCAGUCAGGCCUAUCCUAAACUUCAUCCGAUUAACAUCUGGCUUGCAACAUGGCUUAUUUUGUAGUCUGCUGAAAGACAUGUCUGCUAAGCAUCAUGAUCUACGUUUACAUCAUGCUGUUAGGUGGCUAUGCAAGGGUAAUUCUCUCAAGAGAGUAUGUGAGUUUAGGGAGGAGAUAGUUGCUUUUGUCCACGAUUGCCACGACAACAAAACCGCUGACGUCACUCCACGAGGGUCCCUUACAGCUGGAGUUAGUAGACAUGUUCACAUCAGCUGAUCCGAGGCAGGCGCUUCGGUCUGUGUGAAGUUUUGGACUGAGCAUGUUAUUGCAGCGCAAAUCCCAAACAUAAGAGCAUUGGCGUGUUUUCUUUUAACAACGUUUUGAUCAACAUACACAUGUGGAUCCAGCUUCUCUUACAUUCAUUCCAGAAAAACGAACACAUGUUCCUCCUUGUCAAACGUGAAUCUUACAUUUACAUUUUACAUUUUAGUCAUUUAGCAGACGCUCUUAUCCAGAGCGACUUACAUUAGUGAAUGCAUACAUUUCAUACAAUUUCAUACAUUUUUUUUUCUUUUCUGUGCUUUUCUGUGCUUCAUCAAAGCCUGCGGGUUGCCCUGACUCCUGCCAAACUUUUCUGCUCUUUCCCUAAUCUAAACAGUGCAAUUUCUCCCAUUAGAAGGGAAACACGUGUGUGUGUGUGUGUGUGUGUUUUUCUUAUAUUAAGACAGGAAAGAAUGAACUGAAUAGAUAUAGAACAGAAUGUGAUGCUGGUCAACAGAGAUAUGCCAUGUUUCCUAUGUGUAAAAAAAUGAAAUGAAAUGAUAAAUCCAAACAAAAGAUGAAUGUAUGUACGUACAAUACACUGUGUUAAGGACAAAUGUGUUCCAUUAUUUCAAAAAGUUGAUGCACUGAAUUACUCUUAAAGCACUUCAAAUAAACUUUUAGCAACAUGUUAUUUAAAUAAAAGUGCUUUCUAAGAUUC
This is a long non-coding RNA of Salmo salar (Atlantic salmon), 2373 nucleotides long. RefSeq lists it as uncharacterized. The record is from RefSeq and is a predicted model, not a curated record. Lineage: Eukaryota; Metazoa; Chordata; Actinopteri; Salmoniformes; Salmonidae.